This is a non-coding RNA of Pelodiscus sinensis (Chinese soft-shelled turtle), 165 nucleotides long. The record is from RefSeq and is a predicted model, not a curated record. NCBI's taxonomy places the organism in Eukaryota, Metazoa, Chordata, Testudines, Trionychidae.
CCACUGACCUCUCCCUCUUUCUCCCCACAGGGACCCCCUGGCAAGGACGGGCUUCCUGGGCACCCUGGUCAGCGAGGAGAAGUCGGUUUCCAAGGCAAGACAGGCCCGCCCGGACCUCCGGGGGUGGUAGGACCUCAGGGUGCUCCCGGAGAGUCGGGUCCGCCG